RNAcentral lists this unclassified non-coding RNA (243 nucleotides) under uncultured fungus. RNAcentral describes it as "partial contains 18S rRNA, ITS1, 5.8S rRNA, ITS2 and 28S rRNA". The record is from RNAcentral. Lineage: Eukaryota; Fungi.
AAGGAUCAUUACUGAAUUGUCAACAAGAGUUGUUGCUGGUCCCCAAACGGGGACACGUGCACGCUCUGUUAACACAUCCACUCACACCCUGUGCACCCUCUGUAGUUCUAUGGUUGGGGGGGACUUGUCCUCUCCUGCUGUGGUUCUGCAUCUUUACAUACACACUGUAACAAAGUCUCAUGGAAUGCAUGCCGCGUUUAACGCAAUAAAAUACAACUUUCAGCAACGGAUCUCUUGGCUCUC